This 1346-nucleotide ribosomal RNA is filed under the name uncultured bacterium. RNAcentral describes it as "bacterial SSU rRNA". It matches the Rfam family "Bacterial small subunit ribosomal RNA", at positions 28 to 1381 of the family's 1533-position model. The record is from RNAcentral.
GACGAACGCUGGCGGCGUGCUUAACACAUGCAAGUCGAACGGAAAGGCCCUGCUUUUGUGGGGUGCUCGAGUGGCGAACGGGUGAGUAACACGUGAGUAACCUGCCCUUGACUUUGGGAUAACUUCAGGAAACUGGGGCUAAUACCGGAUAGGAGCUCCUGCUGCAUGGUGGGGGUUGGAAAGUUUCGGCGGUUGGGGAUGGACUCGCGGCUUAUCAGCUUGUUGGUGGGGUAGUGGCUUACCAAGGCUUUGACGGGUAGCCGGCCUGAGAGGGUGGCCGGCCACAUUGGGACUGAGAUACGGCCCAGACUCCUACGGGAGGCAGCAGUGGGGAAUAUUGCACAAUGGGCGGAAGCCUGAUGCAGCAACGCCGCGUGCGGGAUGACGGCCUUCGGGUUGUAAACCGCUUUCGCCUGUGACGAAGCGUGAGUGACAGUAAUGGGUAAAGAAGCACCGGCUAGCUACGUGCCAGCAGCCGCGGUGAUACGUAGGGUGCGAGCGUUGUCCGGAUUUAUUGGGCGUAAAGGGCUCGUAGGUGGUUGAUCGCGUCGGAAGUGUAAUCUUGGGGCUUAACCCUGAGCGUGCUUUCGAUACGGGUUGACUUGAGGAAGGUAGGGGAGAAUGGAAUUCCUGGUGGAGCGGUGGAAUGCGCAGAUAUCAGGAGGAACACCAGUGGCGAAGGCGGUUCUCUGGGCCUUUCCUGACGCUGAGGAGCGAAAGCGUGGGGAGCGAACAGGCUUAGAUACCCUGGUAGUCCACGCUGUAAACGGUGGGUACUAGGUGUGGGGUCCAUUCCACGGGUUCCGUGCCGUAGCUAACGCUUUAAGUACCCCGCCUGGGGAGUACGGCCGCAAGGCUAAAACUCAAAGGAAUUGACGGGGCCCCGCACAAGCGGCGGAGCAUGCGGAUUAAUUCGAUGCAACGCGUAGAACCUUACCUGGGUUUGACAUGGAUCGGGAGUGCUCAGAGAUGGGUGUGCCUCUUUUGGGGUCGGUUCACAGGUGGUGCAUGCCUGUCGUCAGCUCGUGUCGUGAGAUGUUGGGUUAAGUCCCGCAACGAGCGCAACCCUUGUUCACUGUUGCCAGCACGUUAUGGUGGGGACUCAGUGGAGACCGCCGGGGUCAACUCGGAGGAAGGUGGGGAUGACGUCAAGUCAUCAUGCCCCUUAUGUCCAGGGCUUCACGCAUGCUACAAUGGCUGGUACAGAGAGUGGCGAGCCUGUGAGGGUGAGCGAAUCUCGGAAAGCCGGUCUCAGUUCGGAUUGGGGUCUGCAACUCGACCUCAUGAAGUCGGAGUCGCUAGUAAUCGCAGAUCAGCAACGCUGCGGUGAAUACGCUCCCGGGGCC